AAAAAAAUUCCAUGGUCAUAAAAAAAAAAAUAUAGAUGCCACAUAGGAGGGCACGUGUAAACAGCAAGGGCAGCACCUGAAUACACAUUUGAUGACUAAGUGGAUCCAUUAUUUCAUUCACAAAAAUUGGAAUUUGAGAGAGAAGCAAUUUGUUUCACAAAGUGAGCUAGAGAGAAGGACUCUCGGCCAUGGUUGCUCUUAGUUGAGCUCAAAACUUUGAUAACAAAUAAAAUGGUUUCUAAGGUGCUACAUACAUUCAAAGGGGGUGGCAGCAUGAAUUUAAUUCUUGGAGCAACAAGAAUACUUGCAAUCUUAAUCUACAAAAUGCAAUAACGUUAGGUGUUCUCAAUUUGCUAAGGAUAAGUACCAUUGGGCAGCAAGUACAAGUUAUAAUACGACUAAACGCUAAAGGUACAGACGCACAGUUUGGUGAUCCACCAGUUUAGGACACCCUCUUCUGCUGUUUGGAGUGCUCCUCUUAUUCCGAAGCCUACAUUUUGGUAUAUAUACUUGUUUGAUGCAUAUGUAUAUAUUUGUUCAGGGGUACGGCGGGGCCCUGUUCCGCCAUAUGAUCCGUUUGGUCUGUUUAGAGGUCUGUAGACGUAUUUGUGGGUGUGUGUGCCUACUUCUGUUCAGAUGUGUUUGUAUGAUUCUAUUCACUAUGGCAGCCUUGUCGGCGUGCAUUCGUAUAUGUUUUGGGGCCAUUGUGCCAUUUGAUAGCCUUGUCGGCUUUUGGUAUAUAUAUGCAUAUGUAUAUGGUUGUGUUGAAAUGCGUU
Molecule: long non-coding RNA, 776 nt
Organism: Lycium barbarum (goji berry)
Lineage: Eukaryota; Viridiplantae; Streptophyta; Magnoliopsida; Solanales; Solanaceae
Exons: 3
Source: RefSeq, a predicted model, not a curated record